Molecule: RNA transcript, 2589 nt
Organism: Ornithodoros turicata
Lineage: Eukaryota; Metazoa; Arthropoda; Arachnida; Ixodida; Argasidae
Exons: 8
Source: RefSeq, a predicted model, not a curated record
GUGUUACACCAGCGAGGGUCACAUAUGGCUCAUUUGAGCAACGCUUGUACGGAACAGACGUUACCGAUGGCAAAGUGUCGAUGACUAAAGUGCAUGGACGCUUGUACAGAUGUUCAGUCACAGGUGCAAUUCUGAAGGACACUCUCCACUAACAUACAUGGACUUGAGCGACGUUCAAGAACAUUCUGUCACGCCAACUUCUGCAGCAUGACUGUUCUCCCGAACUGAAAGACCUCCCUUGUAUGUCAACGUCAAAAAUCGCAGACCAAUCCAAGAUGUGCCGCCUCCACCUACUUGGCAACCUUAUUCUCACAUGAAUGAAGCUGGGCAUCCGGACCCUGAAUUUCCCAUCGGGAGUCCCACACAGUCCGCCAAGUAUACAACGAUGCAAUGGCAGACGAGGGAAAUGAAUGAGCGUCUACUUCAGCCAGUGGGGCAGUCAGCCCAGCUGUCUCAGUCCCAGCGAAUAAGGCAACCAGACGCACAAACUUCACAGUAUGCUGUGCGUAUCCCAAGCAGAAAUCAACCAGAUGAGUGGCCCCUUCCCCGUACUGCUGCAGUGUAUAUCCUGCACAUGGUAGGAACAUUUUCCUGUAUGUUAGAAGUGCAUUGCAGAUCAUAAUUCCGUAGUCAGCAUCAUAAAAAAGAAAAAAAAAAGGAUCGCGUACUAUACCAAGCAUACGAUUCCCUCUGUCAUUAAUUUAUUUCCUUUUCUUUCUCCCAGAUAUUGUGCGUGAGUAGCUGGUGCUCUUAUCGAGUGCCUACAUCUCCAUUUUUCUUCUUUUUCAUUCCAUUCAUGUUGCACAUAUUUCCAAAUCCGUAAACACAUUUUUAACACUCUAUACUCAUGAGACAAUCAUGUGCUUUGACGUAAAAAAUGUCAUCUCCUGUUUAGAUGCCAACAUCUUGCAGCGGAGCAGAUGCUUUGCACAUCGGUCACAGGUCUUAGGGUGUUAAUAGGUGCUUCUCGAGGGCUGUCUCAGGAGAUCUCCCCACAUCGGAACUCAAGUGCUCAGAAUUGUGCAUACCAUGAAGCUUAUUCAGGAGCACCACACCGUGCGGCUUGACCUCAUAUCGGCCAAGUUAACAACGGCACCAACGGAAAGGCCUGCAGAAAAGGACAUCUUCAGGGAGCCAUUCUAAUAUCGUCAAGAGCUUCUGCGAUUCGAUGUCUCUCUUUACUAUCACAAAGGCUAUAAUUGGUACGUUCUGCACAAUCCACGCGCAUUGUCUACAUGUAUUUUGGAUAAGGUUGUGCGUAAAGUUCUGUUUUCGUCAGUUGAGUAUCUCAUGGCUUUUCUUAAUGAUGCGCGAGCACGUUCUUCUGAGAUGAGGGGGCAGUGACGAAAGAGACAUCACUAGACUGAUUUUGUGUGAACUUAUGUCAGAUGAUGUGGCACAGAACUUCAGCUACAAGGGUCGUAAAGGAAAAAAAAAAGAACUUAAGCGCCCUCAAUCUGGGGCAAGAUUGUCAUUCGUAUGUACUUUACUCUGCAUACUAAAGUGCUCAUAACACUCAAAUCAUCCAUUUGCAGCCUUCAAACUGUCUUGUCAAGUUCUCAUGCAUGCUCAAACGGCUAGAAUGUAGCCCGCUCGAAGCUUCUGCUUGCCAAAAGUGCAGAGGGGAGUUAUACUGUGAUAUUUUCUGGAGCAUCGUUUAUCUAAUUGAAGUACUGUAUACAAUAUUUCCUUGUGAUCUGACUUAAAACGUUGUUCCUUAAAACUCUAUUAUGCGAGGUAAAAAUCGAAGACUUUUGUCAUGUACAGUAUGUGUCAGCCACAUAUGAUGGAACUAGGAAUGUAACAAGAAAAGGCUAUAAGUGUUGUAUAUCACGAACAGUUGUUGAAUGUUUCGAAAAGUAGUAUGUUUUGGUCACAUGUAUCUUUUCCUUGAGACAAAUUAAAUAGCUGUGAGUGAUUGCUUAAUAAUGCCUUACGUAGACGAUGUUCGUAGCAAAAAGAUCGCGAAAUUACCACAAUACGAAAUAACACCAGAAGUGACAAUCUGUCACGAGCUUUGUGCCUUUCGAUAAAAUAGCGUCCACGCUUAUGUGAAAAAAUGUCACCUUUUCUGUGGAUUUCCAAGUUGUAACGCGGUGCAUUUUUCUUGCAAAAAGAAAAAAAGUGUACUUUGACUGAGACACAGGGGUAGGUGUUUCUCAACCCAGUCUAUACCUUCUGGUUGACACAUAGACCCUAUAUAAGAAGUGAAAAAACUUUGCUUUGUUCUCCCUAAGUUAUUUAUUAGCAGCAUUGGGGGAAAACGGGUAGGCAGAUUAACAAGGCUCAUCAGCUGCUGUUCGCGUAGAACGCUUCGCCUGUUUUAAUACCGUGGUUCACAUUAGCUGGGACACCCUGUAUACAAACAUUUCUCAGUUUACUGUUCAACCCACCCUUUUUCUAUUUUCUCUUCUGAGAGAGAUGAGAGAAGUUUGUGAAUGUGUUUGUGAAGCGAGAAUAGGUGGAACCUUGCACCUCCACUGAGUUUCAGAGGUUUUUCCAACAGUGGGGUGUUUAUGUACUCUUGUUUGCAGUACUUGUUGUGUACAAGGCCAUGUGCGCUUAGGAAAUAAAUAUAUUUUACUGAAA